Molecule: ribosomal RNA, 808 nt
Filed under: uncultured Actinomycetes bacterium
Lineage: Bacteria; Bacillati; Actinomycetota; Actinomycetes
Description: bacterial SSU rRNA
Rfam family: Bacterial small subunit ribosomal RNA
Source: RNAcentral
CAAGUCGAGCGAGAACCAGGGCUUCGGCCCUGGGGACAGCGGCGAACGGGUGAGUAACACGUGGGUAAUCUGCCCUCGGCAUCGGGAUAGCCCGGGGAAACCCGGAUUAAUACCGGAUAGCCUCCGGAGCCUUCGGGCGCCGGAGAAAAGGUAGCUUCGGCCUCUGGCCGAGGAUGAGCCCGCGGCGGAUUAGCUUGUUGGCGGGGUAACGGCCCACCAAGGCGACGAUCCGUAGCUGGUCUGAGAGGACGAUCAGCCACACUGGGACUGAGACACGGCCCAGACUCCUACGGGAGGCAGCAGUGGGGAAUCUUGCGCUAAUGCGGGAAACCGUGACGCAGCGACGCCGCGUGGGGGAAGAAGGCCUUCGGGUUGUAAACCUCUUUCAGGAGGGACGAAGCUACUCGGGUGAAUAGCCCAGAGGGUGACGGUACCUCCAGAAGAAGCCCCGGCUAACUACGUGCCAGCAGCCGCGGUAAUACGUAGGGGGCAAGCGUUGUCCGGAUUUAUUGGGCGUAAAGAGCGUGUAGGCGGCCUGACAGGUCUGCUGUGAAAACUCGAGGCUCAACCUCGAGAUGUCGGCGGAAACCGUCUGGCUAGAGUCCGGAAGAGGAGAGUGGAAUUCCUGGUGUAGCGGUGAAAUGCGCAGAUAUCAGGAAGAACACCUAUGGCGAAGGCAGCUCUCUGGGACGGUACUGACGCUGAGACGCGAAAGCGUGGGGAGCGAACAGGAUUAGAUACCCUGGUAGUCCACGCCGUAAACGAUGGGUGCUAGGUGUGGGCGGUGUCGACUCCGUCCGUGCCGAAG